Gasterosteus aculeatus aculeatus (three-spined stickleback) is the source of this 2674-nucleotide long non-coding RNA. The record is from Ensembl. Lineage: Eukaryota; Metazoa; Chordata; Actinopteri; Perciformes; Gasterosteidae.
CAUACCCCCUGGAUGCGUUAAUUACGCAUCACUUAUCUGUUGCCAAUGUGUUCACAAAGCUGGACCCUCUUUGCAGCGGUUGCCUUCACUUUUUGGUCAAUCUAGUAUGGAAAGUAGACAACAAUGGCUCACCAGGCUGAAAAAUGAACUUAGCAACAGUCCUCUGGUGUCAAAUGUGGCUUUUGGCUUCAUCCUCAUGGGACUGGAGAAGCUGGUGGAGCUGGAGUUUGAGUGUCCUUGCAACCCUACAUGGAACGGAGUAUUCUCAUCAGCGUUCUUCAUCAUUCCUGCCGUCAUGGCCUUCACCCUGAUGCUGAUCAUUCAAGGAUGCAGAUUUGACGCGUGGUGCAGGAAAACCCUUUCCCUCUCCAGCUUCGUUCCUGCUAUCGUGUGGCUUAUUUUGUUGUUCCUCGAUGGACAAUACUUUGCUUGUGCCAUGACAGACUGGAAGGGUAGAUUUGUAAUAGUUGACAAGGCAGCUCCGCAGAAGUGGUGUGAGCCGACUGGUGAGGGAGAUGUCACCCCACAAGAACUGAUGCUCCGCUCACAGCAGCUCUUUGUUUUUUCUCAGGUUAUCGGCAUAGUCCUCCUCAUUUUCAUCUGUGUGGGUCUCAUAGUGUAUGUAAUCAGAGAAAGCUGCGAACAAGAGGUGGAGAUGCAGGAUGCAGAUGUAGCCGAGCUCACUGUGCUUAGGAUGAGCUCCCUGCGGACCAGGACGUCCUGAGGGGGGACUCACACCACCCAACACACCUGCCCAGCAGGCAUGGACACUUUGUAAAUACCAAUAACAGACUUUAUGACUUUUCGUAACUGUUGUUAAGAAGUGUUGCCCACUAGACAAGUUUUAAACGGUCAAUUAUUACUAUAAUUAUGGAUAUUAUUUUUCUGUUUUAUCAUUUAAUAUGUAACCGGUCUUGUGCCUUUGUUCAUCCCAUACGCCAGUGCUGCAACUUAUUAGCUUUUGAAGGGCUCUUUAAAGGAAUAGGUGAUUAUUUUUGUUGUUUUUUUUGGUGGGAUGAGAAGAUGGAUAAUAUCACGUCUGUCCAUUGAAUAUGACACUUCAUCCAACAGUUGGUGGGCUUAGUUGAGCGGAAAGUUUGUAACCAGGGAGGAAGCAGUCGGCCUCGUUCAGUCCAAAAUCUAAAUAGUGCUUGUAUCUCCAAAAAUGAACAGCUAUCUCAUUAGUCUGAUCUGUACAACAGUAAAAAACAAUAAAUAAGCUGUUUAUGAGUAUGCAUAAAAGCAGUUGCUAUGCAACCAGGAAAGAUUAAAAGUGCGGUAACCCCACCGAGAAGCAAGGAAAGCCCCCCCACUUUGACAUAUUCAGUGUGUGUUUGACAGACAAAUAAUCAUCCAGAAGCAAAGUCUGUUCUGCUCUCUCACCUUUUCAACGUUUUACAAACUUUUUUUUUAACAUGGAAGUUAUCUUUGUGCCUUCUGUAUAAGCUAUAAUUGUGGAAUCCAAAAGUCAGGGAAUAUUGAUCUGAUCUACUAUUAUUUGACUUGUAUAAACCCAAUAGUUGGAGGUGUAUGUUCCCAAAAUGAAGACGUUCCAUCAUGAUGAAAUUUCAUUUGAAAUGUUUUGGUUUCUCCUCCUGGAUAGCAACUGUCUCCAGACUGAACUGAUAUUCCUAAUGAUUUACCUUUUGGACAGCUAGAGGUGUAAACACAUGUUCAUGAUGCUCUGUAUCAUGGUUGCAACCAGUUAAUAGUGGGAUGUACACAAAUUCUGUAACAGGAUUUCUAGUGUUUAUCUUUUUUAUUGUUUGAUAUUAAAAUUAUUUAUUUAUUUAAAAAAAAAACAUCAGGGAUUUUUUUAUCAGUCACAUCAGAAUAGCAUUUGGUCAGUUUCCACCAUCGUAACAAACCUGCACUGUCGGUAACUUGAAUGUGUCUUAACAUGUGAUCAACUCAGCUGUGAGAGUAAUGUCAGUUGUAAAAUCGUUCUACACACACCAAAGUGGGUCAAAUCAAUAUGGUAACAUUAGGAAUAUCUUUUCAACUUUGGACUUUUAUUACUGUAAAUGCCAACAUUUGCUAAGACAACAGCAGAACAAUCAGCACAGCACAUGCUACAAAUAGUAUGCUAUCUGCUGAGGAACACAAAGCCUGUCUGUAGAUUCUCAGGUUAGUGACACCUUUGUGUCACCUUUGUGCGCAUCCUUUAUGGGGAAGAGACUGGUUUGGAGCACGUCUGCUGAAACCUACACAAACAGCAGUUAUGACACGGAGGAAGUUGUUGUCUUUAACCCCUCCUCUUUAUUCAGUGUUAAGACACAGCAGAGCACCACGCGCAAACAAAUGGCGUCCCUAAACUCAUUCAUGGAGUCAUGGGGCACUUUUCUGUUAUGAGUUUUUGAAAAUGUAAAAUCAUAUUCCAGUGUUCCACAGUCAGUUAGAAACAUUUUGGAAAUUAGUGGAGCAAUACAUUCACUGGGUCCUUCAUCCUUGUCCUGCAUAAAAGGAUGAACUCAUGAGCAUUACCCACAUAUUAAGAAAAAGAUUGUAAUUCCUUCCCUCUAAAGCAGCAAUUUUGCAGCCCAUUUGGACAUGUUUGUUUAAAAGGCUUUGUUAAAUAAUGUGUAAUAAUUGUUAAAAAAAACAAAGAAAAUCAGCCUUAAACAGCUAUGUUCUUCUGUGUUGACCAUUGAUUUUUUAAUAAAAUCAAAUGUUU